AUGACACUGAAUCUUUUUUUUUCCUAUUCUGUUUCUCACUUAUCCAGACAUCCCUAGCUCAUAAGAAUAAAAAGUGCAUUACAGAGCGCAGGAUCUACCACCAAAUGGAUACUCUAGUGUCCUUGGACUCCUGGAAGGAGAACUUUCUUCUUGGCUGGAUCCUGGCAAAGAAGGAAUACGAGUGAAAAUCCCGAAGAC
RNAcentral lists this long non-coding RNA (198 nucleotides) under Chrysemys picta bellii (western painted turtle). RNAcentral describes it as "lncRNA (ENSCPBG00000024783.1)". The record is from RNAcentral. Lineage: Eukaryota; Metazoa; Chordata; Testudines; Emydidae.